AACAUACUCCCUCCGUCCCAAAAUUCUUGUCUUAGAUUUGUCUAAAUACGGAUGUAUCUAGUCACGUUUUAGUAUUAGAGAUACAUCCGUAUCUAGACAAAUCUAAGACAAGAAUUUUGGGACGGAGGGAGUACAUA
Non-coding RNA from Triticum aestivum (bread wheat), 137 nucleotides. NCBI's taxonomy places the organism in Eukaryota, Viridiplantae, Streptophyta, Magnoliopsida, Poales, Poaceae. The record is from Rfam.